This 2591-nucleotide long non-coding RNA is filed under the name Anas zonorhyncha (Eastern spot-billed duck). RNAcentral's name for it is "lncRNA (ENSAZOG00000002574.1)". The record is from RNAcentral. Lineage: Eukaryota; Metazoa; Chordata; Aves; Anseriformes; Anatidae.
GGAAAUAAUCUUGUUAAUUUAGUGAAUUUAACCCAGUGGGCCAAGCAUCUGGUGAGCAGAGUGUGUGCUUGUAGUUGCAUCUUAGUUUUUCCUUCUUCUUUUUUCUCAGACUGUUAAUAUGUCUAACAUAGCACAGACUCACAGUUUGACUCAAAGGGUUCAUUUACUGAGCCCCCAUCCCUGCAAGGAGCCUUCACCCCUCUGCUGGAGGUGGAAAGAUUCCUGUGCCCAGAGCAUGGCUGGGGGACGUGGAGGGGCAGAGGCUGCAUGCAGGUAUCAUGGUCACCCUGGUCCCUGUGGCAUGAAGGUGAGGGAGCGCUACCCACCUAGCGAGGCCCCACAAAGGUGGAUAUACCAAUCUGAGUGAAUGAACUAGAGGUACCUACUGACACUGACUGCUUGGCGGCAUAUGCAUUGGUGAUUCCUCGUCAGAGCUGCAUGUAUCCCUGCAUGCCAAGAAGAUUAAGUCAUCUCAAAUGACUGAGUGACUUCUGUUACCACCUUAGUUUAGCAUUAGGACAGUGGUGCAAAAGGUGACAUAAAACUUUACCUAGAACAGUCAUUCGCAACCUGUGCACUCUGCUAUGCUAAAUAUUUCUGAGUGUUAAGUGCUGUCAAUUUAUCUAUUUACCUUAUCUAUUUUGCACAUAACAUAAUGCAGCAAUAACCUGUUGAUUUGCCAUGAUAUAAAGUCUGGCAUUAGGAUUAAGUCCUCUGUAUUAAAUCUACUGUUAUUUUAUUCAGACUGGUAAAAAAGACAUAGGAACAAUGACGAAAAACAACAAAAACAAAAAGACAGUUUUGAGGGUUAGCUCUCUUUUUCUCUGUGUCUUCACCCUAUUAAUGUGCCAUCUGCUUCUAGGACAUAGAUUCAUUUACCAUUACAGUGUUCUAACAUGAUUACCUUUUUUCCCCCUCAAAAGCCACAAAGGGGCUAAAUAUAGAUUUACUUAAAAUUCUAGGGAAAGAGGCGGUCCUUGCCCUAGACACAAUUGUUCUCUUGAUUUUCAGAGCAUUACCACUAGCAUUAAAUGUAAUUUACUUUAUCUGAUGACAGUUUGCUGAACAAGAUCUUAAGUUUUAAUAGGAUCAGGACAUAGAUGGUAAGCGGAGAGAAGAGAAAAGCAUUGUGGGUGGAAUUCAUCCCACCCCAUUACUCCUUCCUUAACUAAGAACAAAUUGAGCACAAAGAGAUUAGGCAGUCUCCAGGAGGUGGGCCAAGUUAGAGGGCAUCAGCACAUCCAGUCUCCAGGCUGGAGCAGAGUCUGACACCCUGCUGCAUUUCCCCUGGUGGUGUGUUGCCCUGUUGUAGUACAGUUGUGAACUCAUUACUCAGAUAUAUGCUUCUUUCCUCUCUAUUCACCAUUGCACUCCUAAUUACCCUCUAGUUUAUGAUAGCUAGUACAGGCUCAUGCAGUUGCUCAGAUUACCUGCUCUGUAAGCCAUCCACUCCUUGCACAGCAGAACCUUUUUUUUUUUUUUUUUUUUUAUAUCUCACACUAUCAUGGGCAAAUUUCAUAGUAUGAUAAAGCCCUUCACCAAUCAAAGCAUCUAGUGUUAGAGGAGAAAUUGGUUUCUCAUUCAGAGUUAUGGGACUAUUAUGACCUCCCACAUUACUGCUGGUUCAUUUGCAAUCAGCUUUUUCAUUAUCUUUCAGCUACACCGGACCAGAAUUAUGUUAAUUGCCCAUUAACUACAGUUGGGUGAUUCAUUUAUUCUUUUAAUUUAGAGUAUCGAAAAUGGAUCUAACCUCUAUUUUGCUUUUAAAACUUUCUGAUACAAUCUGUGCCAUUGCAGAGGUGAAAGUAAAAACAAGAUAUCAAUAAAGCCAUGUCCUUCGCUGUGUUCGGAGCCUCCAUGGACAGCACAAGAUCCUGUAUGCCUUGCCUCUGCAAGGUAUUCUGCAAGGAAUGACAAAUGAGUUUAGCAGAAGAGUUCAUUUCUUUUUCUCUCCUUCUCUAGUGGAGUAGAUUUUCCUGCAUGCAUACUGAAGCUUCUUAAUUUUGUUUUUCACUUCAUUAUUUCUGCCUCUUAAAGGGGUAUGUGAUUCAAGGCUAAAAUCAUCCUCUACCUGGAAAAAAAAAAAAAAAAAAGCUUUCUGCAUGGCAAGCUUACCAAAUAUCUUUGUGGAGUUUUUUGCAGGUGGGUUGUGUGGCCAGUCUCAUUCAGAGAACAAUUCCAACAUUGUUUUUGUUCUUUAAGUUGUUGGGUUUCUUGAGCCUUGUAUUCCUUUGUGAGGAAAGGGCGGUAAUUGAAUAUUUUUCUUGCAGAUGCUUUUUCCUUGGAUGUCUCAGAAUUGUGGACUGGGAGCAUUCUCAUCUCUAUUAUCUAUAACAGAUUGCAAUUUAAUUUGAGUUUUCCCCUGUAGCAACAUGUAGGUGUUUGUGAUAAUUGUCAAAGGUAGAGUUCUCAAUGGAAGUGUAGCUUCAGUCCUACAAAUACUUAAGUAUAACUUUACUCAAGUGAAUUAGCCUAAUUGAUAUGACUCCAGCACUUAUGUGAAUGAAUGUACCACUUAUAAGGAUGAACAUAUUCAUCCUUAACUAAUUGCAGUCUCUGAAAGAAGAACUUUCUACAUUUUCCCAGUAGCC